This 465-nucleotide ribosomal RNA is filed under the name uncultured bacterium. RNAcentral describes it as "bacterial SSU rRNA". It matches the Rfam family "Bacterial small subunit ribosomal RNA", at positions 335 to 792 of the family's 1533-position model. The record is from RNAcentral.
ACUCCUACGGGAGGCAGCAGUGGGGAAUAUUGCACAAUGGGCGCAAGCCUGAUGCAGCCAUGCCGCGUGUAUGAAGAAGGCCUUCGGGUUGUAAAGUACUUUCAGCAGUGAGGAAGGCGGAGUCGUUAAUAGCGGCCUCGUUUGACGUUAGCUGCAGAAGAAGCACCGGCUAACUCCGUGCCAGCAGCCGCGGUAAUACGGAGGGUGCGAGCGUUAAUCGGAAUUACUGGGCGUAAAGCGCAUGCAGGUGGUUUGUUAAGUCAGAUGUGAAAGCCCGGGGGCUCAACCUCGGAAUUGCAUUUGAAACUGGCAGACUAGAGUACUGUAGAGGGGGGUAGAAUUUCAGGUGUAGCGGUGAAAUGCGUAGAGAUCUGAAGGAUACCGGUGGCGAAGGCGGCCCCCUGGACAGAUACUGACACUCAGAUGCGAAAGCGUGGGGAGCAAACAGGAUUAGAUACCCUGGUA